GCCAGGGUGGCUUAGCCGGUUAAGUAUCUGAUUUUGGCUCAGGGCAUAAUCUCAAGGUUCAUGGGUUCAAGCCCCAUGUCAGGCU
This 85-nucleotide transfer RNA is filed under the name Felis catus (domestic cat). It matches the Rfam family "tRNA". From Rfam's summary of the family: Transfer RNA (tRNA) molecules are approximately 80 nucleotides in length. Their secondary structure includes four short double-helical elements and three loops (D, anti-codon, and T loops). RNAcentral also lists the same sequence under 1 other name. The record is from Rfam by way of RNAcentral. Lineage: Eukaryota; Metazoa; Chordata; Mammalia; Carnivora; Felidae.